Molecule: ribosomal RNA, 467 nt
Filed under: Streptococcus mutans
Lineage: Bacteria; Bacillati; Bacillota; Bacilli; Lactobacillales; Streptococcaceae
Description: bacterial SSU rRNA
Rfam family: Bacterial small subunit ribosomal RNA
Source: RNAcentral
GACGAACGCUGGCGGCGUGCCUAAUACAUGCAAGUGGGACGCAAGGGAACACACUGUGCUUGCACACCGUGUUUACUUGAGUCGCGAACGGGUGAGUAACGCGUAGGUAACCUGCCUAUUAGCGGGGGAUAACUAUUGGAAACGAUAGCUAAUACCGCAUAAUAUUAAUUAUUGCAUGAUAAUUGAUUGAAAGAUGCAAGCGCAUCACUAGUAGAUGGACCUGCGUUGUAUUAGCUAGUUGGUAAGGUAAGAGCUUACCAAGGCGACGAUACAUAGCCGACCUGAGAGGGUGAUCGGCCACACUGGGACUGAGACACGGCCCAGACUCCUACGGGAGGCAGCAGUAGGGAAUCUUCGGCAAUGGACGAAAGUCUGACCGAGCAACGCCGCGUGAGUGAAGAAGGUUUUCGGAUCGUAAAGCUCUGUUGUAAGUCAAGAACGUGUGUGAGAGUGGAAAGUUCACACAG